Long non-coding RNA from Neofelis nebulosa (Clouded leopard), 450 nucleotides. RefSeq lists it as uncharacterized. The transcript is spliced from 3 exons. NCBI's taxonomy places the organism in Eukaryota, Metazoa, Chordata, Mammalia, Carnivora, Felidae. The record is from RefSeq and is a predicted model, not a curated record.
CAGCUAUCCAGUAGCCCAAACGUGGUGCAUCGUAUGUCCAGACGAAGUGAUUGUUAUGUUCCUUGACCAUUCCCUGGCCAUGAUUUACCCAAGCACCUAAAAAGACCACAAAGGCUGGUUCGGAGAUGGGCAUGAAAAUUCUAUAAUUGCAGUGAAUCCAAGAGCUUGUGCAAUUGCUACUGGGAAAAGAAUCUCUUUCCAUUGGACUUCAACCUGUGUGUCAAGUCAGAGCACCUACACUCUCUUCUUGCCACUCUGAAGAUAAACCUGAAUCUUUGAAUUAAAAGCUAGAGUUUUGUUCAUCAUUUAACAAAUAGUUAUAACAGAGCCCCUAUUGGCACCACCUACUCAUCUUGGUUCCAAAGCACAGUGAGUACAUGAUCUCUUGAGAUAUGUUUUUCACAAUCUGCAUUACCAUCAAGAAUGCUUUUUUCCAUUUCUUUGCUCAUU